RNAcentral lists this ribosomal RNA (612 nucleotides) under uncultured bacterium. Its description in RNAcentral is "bacterial SSU rRNA". It matches the Rfam family "Bacterial small subunit ribosomal RNA", at positions 338 to 951 of the family's 1533-position model. The record is from RNAcentral.
CCUACGGGAGGCAGCAGUAAGGAAUAUUGGUCAAUGGACGAAAGUCUGAACCAGCCAUGCCGCGUGAAGGAUUAAGGCCCUCUGGGUUGUAAACUUCUUUUAUCUGGGACGAAAAAAGGGUAUUCUUACUCACUUGACGGUACCAGAGGAAUAAGCACCGGCUAACUCCGUGCCAGCAGCCGCGGUAAUACGGAGGGUGCAAGCGUUAUCCGGAUUUACUGGGUUUAAAGGGUGCGUAGGUGGGCUUGUAAGUCAGUGGUGAAAUCUCCGGGCUUAACCCGGAAACUGCCAUUGAUACUAUAGGUCUUGAAUUAUCUGGAGGUAAGCGGAAUAUGUCAUGUAGCGGUGAAAUGCUUAGAUAUGACAUAGAACACCAAUUGCGAAGGCAGCUUACUACGGAUACAUUGACACUGAGGCACGAAAGCGUGGGGAUCAAACAGGAUUAGAUACCCUGGUAGUCCACGCCCUAAACGAUGGAUACUCGACAUCAGCGAUACACUGUUGGUGUCUGAGCGAAAGCAUUAAGUAUCCCACCUGGGAAGUACGAUCGCAAGAUUGAAACUCAAAGGAAUUGACGGCUGAGACGNGCGACGACGACGACGAGGGAGGAGG